GUGGUUGGUGCUGGCCCUCUCGGGGGCAUGUGCACACCCACCAUCCUCAUCUCUCCACCUGUGCACCUCUUGUAGACCUGGAUUGACUUUCCGAGGCAACUCGGUCGGGAAGAUUGCUGCGCUCUGUGAGCCAGCUUUCUUUGCAUGUCCAGGCCUAUGUUUUUCAUAUACCCCUAUAGAAUGUAACAGAAUGUAUUAUUGGGCCUUGUGCCUAUAAACCUUAUACAACUUUCAGCAACGGAUCUCUUGGCUCUCGCAUCGAUGAAGAACGCAGCGAAAUGCGAUAAGUAAUGUGAAUUGCAGAAUUCAGUGAAUCAUCGAAUCUUUGAACGCACCUUGCGCUCCUUGGUAUUCCGAGGAGCAUGCCUGUUUGAGUGUCAUUAAAUUCUCAACCUUAUUAACUUUUGUUGAUAAUGGAUUGGAUUGUGGGGGUUUCUUUUGCUGGCUUCUUCACAGAGAUCAGCUCCCCUUAAAUGCAUUAGCUGGUGCCCCGCGUGGACCAUCUAUUGGUGUGAUAAUUAUCUACGCCGUGGAUGUCUGCAAUCAUAUGGGUUUCGCACUGCUUCUAACCGUCUGUUCAUUCGGACAAUACAUGACAAUUUGACCUCAAAUCAGGUAGGACUACCCGCUGAACUUAAGCAUAUCAAUAAGCGGAGGAAAAGAAACUAACAAGGAUUCCCCUAGUAACUGCGAGUGAAGCGGGAAAAGCUCAAAUUUAAAAUCUGGCGGUCUCCGGCCGUCCGAGUUGUAAUCUAGAGAAGUGUUAUCCGCGCUGGACGUGUA
This 783-nucleotide ribosomal RNA is filed under the name uncultured Alnicola. RNAcentral's name for it is "eukaryotic LSU rRNA". The stretch from base 227 to 380 matches the Rfam family "5.8S ribosomal RNA". Lineage: Eukaryota; Fungi; Basidiomycota; Agaricomycetes; Agaricales; Cortinariaceae. The record is from RNAcentral.